GUGAGGAAUUUUCCGCAAUGGGCGAAAGCCUGACGGAGCAAUGCCGCGUGAAGGAUGAAGGCCUAUGGGUUGUAAACUUCUUUUCUUAGAGAAGAAUAUUGACGGUAUCUGAGGAAUAAGCAUCGGCUAACUCUGUGCCAGCAGCCGCGGUAAGACAGAGGAUGCAAGCGUUAUCCGGAAUGAUUGGGCGUAAAGCGUCUGUAGGUGGCUUCAAAAGUCUCCUGUCAAAGAUCAGGGCUUAACCCUGGGCCGGCAGGAGAAACUCUGAGGCUAGAGUUUGGUAGGGGCAGAGGGAAUUCCCGGUGGAGCGGUGAAAUGCGUAGAGAUCGGGAGGAACACCAAAGGCGAAAGCACUCUGCUGGGCCACAACUGACACUGAGAGAAGAAAGCGAGGGGAGCAAAAGGGAUUAGAUACCCCAGUAGUCC
Molecule: ribosomal RNA, 426 nt
Filed under: uncultured bacterium
Lineage: Bacteria
Description: partial 16S ribosomal RNA
Rfam family: Bacterial small subunit ribosomal RNA
Source: RNAcentral